GGAAGAUGAUUUGAAUGUUUAUAAUUUCGUAUGUGUGUUUAUGAAUUACAUCAAAACUUGAUUGUAUUUGAAUAUGGAUUAUCAUGUGAUGUAAAUGGAGGAUUUUGAGGAUGAAACUCAAAUAUGAAGUCUUUGUGUCUAUUUACUUGAGUGUCUUUAUUGCGAUUCGACGUUGUAGUUGAUUCGAUAGCAUUUUGGGAUAAAUGUAAUCUGAUUAGGAUAAUAUGGUGACAUGUAGUUAUGGACGUUAUAACCUUGGAAAAACCCGCAAUUGGAUGUAUGUGGUAAAUGUUAUCUAAAUGAAUUAUGUUUUUC
Lupinus albus (white lupine) is the source of this 315-nucleotide non-coding RNA. The record is from the annotation of a GenBank genome assembly. Lineage: Eukaryota; Viridiplantae; Streptophyta; Magnoliopsida; Fabales; Fabaceae.